AAAAAAUUGGGAGCAUCCCUGUUUUCUUUAGAAUAUAUAUAUAUAUAUAUAUAUAUAUAUAUAUAUAUAUGAAAAUUCUAAAGAAAACAGGGAUGCUCCCAAUUUUUU
This 108-nucleotide microRNA precursor is filed under the name Marmota monax (woodchuck). The record is from RNAcentral. Lineage: Eukaryota; Metazoa; Chordata; Mammalia; Rodentia; Sciuridae.